CAAUAGCGUAUAUUUAAGUUGCUGCAGUUAAAAAGCUCGUAGUUGGAUUUCGGGUGGGAAUGGCCGGUCCGCCGUUUCGGUGUGCACUUGCUACGCCCACCUUGCUGCCGGGGACGUGCUCUUGAGUUCACGCUCGGGACACGGAGUCGGCGAGGUUACUUUGAGUAAAUUAGAGUGUUCAAAGCAGGCCUACGCUCUGAAUACAUUAGCAUGGAAUAACACGAUAGGACUCUGGCCUAUCUUGUUGGUCUGUGGGACCGGAGUAAUGAUUAAGAGGGACAGUCGGGGGCAUUCGUAUUUCAUUGUCAGAGGUGAAAUUCUUGGAUUUAUGAAAGACGAACUACUGCGAAAGCAUUUGCCAAGGAUGUUUUCAUUGA
This 377-nucleotide ribosomal RNA is filed under the name uncultured eukaryote. RNAcentral describes it as "partial 18S ribosomal RNA". It matches the Rfam family "Eukaryotic small subunit ribosomal RNA", at positions 592 to 976 of the family's 1831-position model. The record is from RNAcentral.